Molecule: ribosomal RNA, 253 nt
Filed under: uncultured bacterium
Lineage: Bacteria
Description: partial 16S ribosomal RNA
Rfam family: Bacterial small subunit ribosomal RNA
Source: RNAcentral
UACAGGGGGUGCAAGCGUUGUCCGGAAUGAUUGGGCGUAAAGCAUCUGUAGGUGGUUUUUAAAGUCGACUGUUAAAUCCCAGAGCUCAACUUUGGCAGGGCAGUCGAGCACUUAGAAACUUGAGUACGGUAGGGGUAGAGGGAAUUCUUAGUGGAGCGGUGAAAUGCACAGAGAUUAGGAAGAACACCAGUGGCGAAAGCGCUCUACUGGGCCGUGACUGACACUGAGAGAUGAAAGUUGGGGAGCGAAAAGG